UGGUGCCGUUCACUCUCCUAGUUCUUCUCAUUUUCUAAUUUCAAUUCUGCUUCUUAUAAGCCUCAGAGCUUCACUGAGCCCAGGUAAUCGUCUAAUCUUCUUUUAGUUGCAGAUUUUUUAAAUCAACAUUUUAUUUCUCAGGUUUAAUUUUGGGGUAUAAUUUAAGGUGUUGUUUGAUUAGUAUUGUUAUUAUUAUUUUGUGCAUCAGCUCCUCAAGUUUUUCAUCGCGGUUUAUUGGUUUUGGAAAUGAUUAGAUUUGGUUCCUCUAUUUUCUCAAAUUCACGUCUGAUUUGGCUGUGGAUUAUGAAGGGGUUUGUUGGUUUUCAAUUAAUAUUUUAGCUUAUGGGAUAAUUAG
This 355-nucleotide long non-coding RNA is filed under the name Prunus persica (peach). Its description in RNAcentral is "long non-coding RNA (PPER_LNC005032)". Lineage: Eukaryota; Viridiplantae; Streptophyta; Magnoliopsida; Rosales; Rosaceae. The record is from RNAcentral.